GCCCGCAUGGUGAAAUUGGUAAACACAGCGGACUUAAAAUCCGCCGCCAUAGGCUUGCCGGUUCAAGUCCGGCUGCGGGCACCA
RNAcentral lists this transfer RNA (84 nucleotides) under Neorhizobium galegae. Its description in RNAcentral is "tRNA-Leu". It matches the Rfam family "tRNA". Rfam says of the family: Transfer RNA (tRNA) molecules are approximately 80 nucleotides in length. Their secondary structure includes four short double-helical elements and three loops (D, anti-codon, and T loops). The record is from RNAcentral. Lineage: Bacteria; Pseudomonadati; Pseudomonadota; Alphaproteobacteria; Hyphomicrobiales; Rhizobiaceae. RNAcentral also lists the same sequence under 1 other name.